This is a long non-coding RNA of Spinacia oleracea (spinach), 2178 nucleotides long. RefSeq lists it as uncharacterized. Lineage: Eukaryota; Viridiplantae; Streptophyta; Magnoliopsida; Caryophyllales; Amaranthaceae. The transcript is spliced from 4 exons. The record is from RefSeq and is a predicted model, not a curated record.
UGAAAAAGAAGAGACCUGUUAUCUGCUAUAUGAGGUCUGCUCAAACCAUAACCCCUAUUUCUUUCUCCCUUCCAUGUACCAGCGCAAAAAAAAAAACGAAUCCUUUAAUUUCAGAUCUAAUUGUAUUCCCAGCGCUCAUUCAUCUCAAACUUCUCACUCCUUUAUUCUCAAUCAAAACCCCUAAUUUAUAUUAUUGCAGAUCACCAUUUUCAGAAGCUCAUCGAAAUUCAAUAAAAGAACCCUAAUUUUUGAAAUAUGAAUCUCAAUUUCUCACUUUAAUUGAUGCAAAAGUUUCCAAUUUUUCCAUUUAAAAGUGUAUCAGCCUUGGAGGUUUCAUAUGGGGAGUCAAUUCGCGGAGCUCAAACAAUAGCUAACAGAGCAAGAGAUGAAUCGCAAGCUAAAAGAAAAGUUCAAUAAAUUUUCGCCUCUUGAGUUUCCUGACAUAUGAAGUUGCAAGGAAACAUUUGUCACUGGCCUGUCUUCAUUUACUAGCUAGACUGGUUGCCUGCAGAAAUUGACUCAAUUUUAGGUUUCUUCAAGAGAUGUUUUUACUUUUUGUUUCAAAAAAUAAUAUGUACUUCAUCAUUUGCUCUGUUCCUUAUCCUGGUUGCAGGCCAGUUUUGGCCUUGCUUGUAGUUUGCAGAGGCUAUCUAAAUUGCAAUAAGAAAGACUUAUCGUUUGCAUAGUUAUAUGUUUUGGUCUUCUUGACCAUGAGAGAUGAGUUUGAGUAAGGAUAAGGAGUACUCGAGGAUUUUGCCAAAGUUGAUGAACUUGUGUCAAUAUCAGAUGAACAUUCGGGGAUGUAGUGUGUGGUAGUUUAGCAAAUUCUUUAUGGCGGAAACACAUACAUUUUAAUGUAUUAGCCUCUAAACUCAUACUGUUAAUUUCAACUUCAGAUUGUUCCUGCUGCUAGCCAUCGACUUUGCUUGAUCUUUUAUGAUGCAGGUCCUAAGAAAAACUCUCUAAAUUUAUAUCUUCAGAUAGUUUUCCAUAGCAAUAGAGUGCUUGGUUCUUGAGCUCGGAAGAUGGAUAUUGGGUUUUUCUAUGGCCAUUGCAGACUACAUAGUAAGCAUAAACUUUUGCAUGUCAUCUCAACUUUGAACAUACUUUAAACAUGGUAAACUUAGUAACAUAAUGAUCACUACAGGCACUACAAACUCCUAUUAGUGUGAGUGCGUGACAGUGCUAAUUCCUAGUCAAAAUAUCCUAUAUGGCUUGACCUAAAUGGAAUAUAUGUUUAUAAAUCAUGUAUACCUCUGCUUGGUUUGUCUAUCAAGCUGAAAUAGCUGAAUUGAUCAGUUUCAGUAAUAAUAACACUCACAAGUAGACAUUCUCAUAGAGUGGCCAUAACUUAGAGCCUUAGAGCCCUAGGAAUUUGUUUUUUCAUGACUUUUUAUCAGUAUUUUUUUAACCAUUGUUUGGAAAUUACAUUAUUCUAGAGUACCUCGCAACUGUGUAGGUUAAUGUCACCAUUAUUAAUGGCGUACUUGAAUGCUAAAAUGCUGUUAGAGAAGGAGCUGCCCUUAACAUCAGAAAUUGUGUGGUGUGAAUGGUAGGACACUUUGAUUUGAUAGAAUAAUAAAUAUUACAAAGGAUAAUCCCUUUUGUACUACACUAACUAAAUGUAUUAAUGCUUGUCGUGCUACAUGUACAAUGUGGAUUGCUGAGGAGCUUUUACAGCGAUAACAAAGGGAAUUUUGGUGUCCUGCUCUGCUAGAAAUACUGGACCCGACUCUAGCAGCUUGUCAAAUGUUGCUCCAUGGAUAACCACUGUGGGUGUUGGUGAAAUCGAUCGUGAUUCCCCAACCUAUGUUAUCCUAGGAGAUGGCAGGAAUUUUACCGGUGCAUAACUUUCCAGUGUUUUCUGAAGAAAGUUAUUCAUCGGAAAAUGUGGAUGAGGUUAGACACAUGUGGGUCGAGUAUUUUCUCAAGCAAAAAGCGGACCAAGAAAACAAAGUUGAUGGUAUGGAAAUAACUCCAUGAGUUUUGGUUUCAAUUGUUGGUAAAUUGGUGUGAAUGAUUAUAUUUUGGAAUUGAUUUUUGUUUUACGGUUUUGGGAAUCGCGAUGUAAAGUUUGACGCUUAUGCAAAUCACAGUUUAUGUAAAGCUUGCGUUUUGAGCAUUACUUGUUGGAAAUAUUUUUUUUGGUAAUAUAUGGAUUAUGGAGUUGUUCUCGAA